CUAUUGAGAAAUGAUACAGUAGGGUCAUGAUCUAUACACCAAUAUGGCUUCAUUAAACUAAAGCUGUUUUUGUGCUUAGAGUAUCCGUUUAACUGACCGCUUUAUCCACGGAAUUGUAUGAAAUAUAUUUACGAAAAUAUUCACUAGAGUGAGAACUCAACGUGAAUUCAGAGAGCCUCUCAAAUGUAAGGUCAAAAUGGAAAAAUUAUCUUAGGC
Non-coding RNA from Pelobates cultripes (western spadefoot toad), 216 nucleotides. The record is from the annotation of a GenBank genome assembly. Lineage: Eukaryota; Metazoa; Chordata; Amphibia; Anura; Pelobatidae.